CAGCUCCAUGUGUGUUAUUGCCCUGAAGACCUUCCAAUGGAACAAGAGGUGGAGGUGGAAGACAGUGAUAUGGAUGACCCUGACCCUGUUAUUGAAAUUGGCAUCUUUGGGAGCUCGCUGUCAUCUCUUCACAAAACAUCCCCACGGAAAGCCAAACUUUCCCUUAGCAAGCGUGGCAACGUCCCAGAGUGCAGCCUGGAUCCCGUCAAGGAUAUCACAUGAUACUUCCUUGUCAUGUUUCCUUAGGCUCAUCUUGACUGUCCAUUUCUCAGACCUUCCUUGAUUUUGGUGACCUUGACAAUGUUGAGGAACAGUGGUCAGGCAAAUUCCAGGCUCCUUUGGAAGAAUGACAAUGCUACAGAAAAGCACAUGGAUUUGCAGCUUCGUGGACAUCACCUGUGAGGGUGACAGCUCUUUACUCUCAGUGAGUUCCCCAGAUGGAGGAAAGUGAAGCCAGGCUUACUGAGGAAAAAAAACAACCCUCAGAAAUCAAAAUCAGACAGCUAUACCCGGUCUGGCUGCCCCAGAGCGGGAAGACCUGAACCUUGGCAGGGCUGGCUGCUGUGCUGACCAGUCUGAUAUCAAGAAGAGAAGUGAUUUUCCGAUCCUGCAUCCGGUACAGCUGUGCGGACUCUGCUCUUCCUGCCAUUCCACCAAGAAAUUAAAAAGCAAUUUUCUUUUGAAGUUCUGGGGUUUUUUUGUUUUUUGUUUUUUUCAUUUAAGAUUACACUUUGAGGUCAGAAAAUGAGACAUAAGGAAUUCACAAACACACACGCAUUCGAUUCAGAAACAUUCCACCCUCCACAUCCCCAUUUUAAACUGUCCUGAGGCCCAGAUGGUUUACAGCUUGAGCCGGCUUAGGCUGGCAAGCAUUUCAGGGAUCUGGUUGACUACGUUUUCCUGAAACAGAGGUAUUUUAUGCAUUAAGCUGAUCAACACCGGGGAGAAUGGGGCACCCUAACUGCCUUUAAGUAAUAUCUUAUGAAGCUCUUUUAGGAUUAGCAGCAGAACAAAAUACACCCAGGAAUCAAGGGUAUAAAGCAAUGAAGAUUGUGUUUCACCUUGCAAUAUUGUGAGUAGUGUUGUUUAUUCAAGGCAGUGUUAAUUUUUAUAAUUUUUAAGCUUGUAUGUAUGUUUUUCUCCUCAGAUGAUUAUGGUCUGUAUCAGUUGCAGUUCAAGCAGGAAGUAGAAACCACACAGUAACUUAAACGGGGAAAGUUGAGUAUAAAGAAUUAAUAAGUAAAAUGUAGAACUGGAGUAACAAGGGAUUGGCUAGUGAGAAGUGAACUCUAAAGAAUACAAAGCAGCAGAUAGAGGGAGCCGCCACUCUCCGUCCCUGGAGCUGAGAUGGAUGCUCGUGGAAGGGCCCUCGCUUCCAGGGCUGAAAAGAUUCAGACAUGCCGAGAGGGCACAGCCAUAGCUCAGUGGGUGGCAGGGAAUUUUUGCAAGUGCUGUGGUGUUGCAACAGCAGAACUUGCUAGAAAUGGGCCUCUUUUCUUCAAAUCGAAGGAAAGACAUUUCCCCAAACUGAAGAGGACAAAAAUGAAGAAAUUCUUAGCCUUUCCCUCAAAUCAGGAGCCCCAUAGUUCUCAAGGUCAUUAUAUUGGUGAUGGGCUAUAUUAAUCACUUCUCAAAUUCAAUCGUAGUCUAACUCAUGUUUUCUGCAUAUAUUAUAAAAUGAAUU
This 1684-nucleotide long non-coding RNA is filed under the name Homo sapiens (human). RNAcentral describes it as "HSALNT0309684". The record is from RNAcentral. Lineage: Eukaryota; Metazoa; Chordata; Mammalia; Primates; Hominidae.